Long non-coding RNA from Onychostoma macrolepis, 2237 nucleotides. RefSeq lists it as uncharacterized. The transcript has 3 exons. The record is from RefSeq and is a predicted model, not a curated record. Lineage: Eukaryota; Metazoa; Chordata; Actinopteri; Cypriniformes; Cyprinidae.
GUUUGAUCCUCCUACAACAAUUUAAAAACAAUCAUCCAAAAUGCUAUGUGUGUAUGUUAUAUAAUGAAAGCUUGUGUCAAAUUUUGUAGCAUAUUUGAGUUAAGGAAUGUUUUUUUUUUUUUUAAUUAUACAGCUCUAUGACCUUUAGCCCAUAUGCACAUUUGCUGUAGACCAAAAGAUGGCUGCUGCUCCUCAAAACGUUCCUUAUUCAAGCACAAGUCAUAAAACUGAAAGACAAAACAAACACGAACAGUUGUGGGCGACUGACCUUGCCAAACUUUUAGGGAAAGUCAGCUGUAACAGUACUUGAUGUCAUUUCAACAAAACCCCUUUAAUUAGAAAAUAGCAGCCUAAGAAACUGGAUGGGGACAUGGAACGUGAGCUUUGUUUGUUAAACAUUUAUUUUUGUAUAUUAAGUAGCGCUAGUUAUCCUUUCAUAAUCGAAAGGAACGCUGACACGACAAAAGCACAAUUCCCUGGUGAAAAUUGAUGCUUCGGCACCAAAGGGUGAUGGGAAUGCUGGGAUACGCACCUUCGUCUAAGCUCUUGUUUGUGUCUGGCUAUCAUCAGUAUCAUUACAGUGCUAAUCUGGGUGUGGUUGGCAGGAAGAGACUCGGCCCAGUGUACCCAAAACAAAGACUGGAGCAGCGAACCCAGAGCUUCAGCAACUACAAAGCAGAAAUCUGUGCGGUUGAUGAGUUUACUUGAUUCAUGUCACAUCAAUGAUAUAUGGAGGCUUGGUUCCACAAAAAUGGGCCGUUGUUGGAGAAUGUUCUUCCAGGACCUGUGAGGAAUGGGGCGCUGUAGUGUCUUUCCGGCCCCAUGAAUUUAAGUGACAUCUCUAGUGAAAGGCCAUUUCAGUGCACAACCGUUUUGCAGAUUUCUGCAGCACAAGCAAAUGGAAACCACACUGAACAGACACCGAAAUAGAACACAAAGUUCAGGCGAAAGAAGAACUGUCAUUUGAAAAUCCUGACAAAGCAAGCUUUUAAACCUCUUCCCUGAAGCAGUCCAGUAACAUUUACACAGACAUACCAAAAACAGUCAUUGCCGGUGAAAAAAUAUGGAGGCUUAUUUUGGCCACCAGACCUUCUUGUCAAACAGUGAGCAUGUGCACAUCCUCUCUCUUGAGAAGUGCUGACGUAACAACGCGUUGACACUUCAUGUUCCAGCGACUGUCAGGCAUCGACAUUGGCUCAGUUUCCUUCCCAUUACUCAGAGAAACCUGAUCCCAGGUCAGGUGUUGAAGGGAGGAUGUCAACCAGGGAAUUUAACAUGUUGAGGAGAUCUUGGCAGGACAAAAGUGUGUUUUCGGGAUGCUAAAGCAUCAACACAGUCACCCUUCUGCUGUGCAACUUUUAUAUGGGACGAGAAAUUGGGCCACGUAUGUGUUGACAAGCUGUAAAGUGAGAUCCAAAAGCCUUUUCCCCAGUGUGGCUGUAGCUUUAUUAACAUUCCAGUUGCAUUCUGGGAAAGCGCCGUUAUUGAAGGCCACCCAUUAGUCGUGGAGGCAGGAGCCGAAGACUUUGCCAGUCUCAGCUGUUGCCUGGACACGGCGUCUCCCAAGCAGCGGAAGCGGAUAUCACGUGUGCUGGGGUUCGGUGUCGGACAUGAGAGGGAGAAUCGACUCAAUCCUCUUCCUGUUGAUUCCACUUAGGAUCCCCAAACUGCCUCUUCCCACGUUGACACAAAUACUUGGGUCCAUGUGACAUCCUGUGGAAGAGGCGAACAAUAACGAACUAGUACGUCAAGACCUGGGAACUGUGCUGUGAGAGACGUACCAUCACACCUCAAACACAUCAAGCCAGUUUCGCACUCAGCUCUUCGGGUGUUUAGUGUCUCGUCACCAAGGUUCAUUUCCUGCAAUACUGGAAAGGAAUGUGUCAGCGCAGAUUUUUUUUCUUUUUUUUUCUGUGAAUACUUCAGUGGCAGUAUAAAAACGAUUUUUUUUUACUUUGUAUAUAUUUUUUUAAAUAAAAAUGUUUUUCUUAGAACUUACUUUUUUUUUCUAGAAUGGCUAAAGAUAUUAAAUAAAAUAAUAAAACAUAUUAAACAAAUGCCAAGUAAUGAAUAAAUAAAGCCUUUGAUAUAAUAUCAUAUUUAUUUUUUUCUUAUAGUAAUUUAGGAAUAAUGUUGAUUGUCAGACCUCGAUAAAUGUAACACUACAAUUUGUUUAAGAAAUAAGAAAAUGCAAUGAGAUUAUUAACAUAUAUUAACAUCAUGUUGCAUAAAGGGUC